CUCAAGGCCGCCAAGUCCUCUGCUGAAGAGCAGGAGAAAAUGUUUAAUUGGGACAGACACUCAUUUUGGGCAUCUCGGGCUGAACUUUCAAGGAAAAACCAAGCAUUGCAGGCCACUAAUGCUGAGCUGGUGACUGAGCAGACUGACCUGAAAGCUAAAGUGAACAUACUGUUAGCAUUAGUGCAUGAACUGGAGCAAGAGCUCACUCAGACCACGGGGAAGUGUAAUAACAUAAACUCAGAGAGCAUGAAGGAGCAGGAAUCUCCGCUUCUUCCAUAUUCACAGAAUAAUCUGAUGAUUUUAACAAACAACGAGGAGUUUCCAAUG
Long non-coding RNA from Clarias gariepinus (North African catfish), 327 nucleotides. RefSeq lists it as uncharacterized. The record is from RefSeq and is a predicted model, not a curated record. NCBI's taxonomy places the organism in Eukaryota, Metazoa, Chordata, Actinopteri, Siluriformes, Clariidae. The transcript is spliced from 3 exons.